CCAAUAGCGUAUAUUAAAGUUGUUGCAGUUAAAAAGCUCGUAGUUGAAUUUCGGGGUCAGUGAGUUGGUCGUGCCACUGGUAUGCACUGGCUUUACUGAUUCCUCCUUCUUGAAGAACUGUAAUGCUAUUAAUUUAGUGUUGCAGGGAAACAGGACUGUUACUUUGAAAAAAUUAGAGUGUUUAAAGCAGGCUAACGCUUGAAUACAUUAGCAUGGAAUAAUGAAAUAGGACGUUUGAUCCUAUUUUGUUGGUUUCUAGGAUUGACGUAAUGAUUAAUAGGGAUAGUUGGGGGCAUUAGUAUUCAAUUGUCAGAGGUGAAAUUCUUGGAUUUAUUGAAGACUAACUACUGCGAAAGCAUUUGCCAAGGAUGUUUUCAUUAAUCAAGAACGAAAGUUAGGGGAUCGAAGACGAUCAGAUACCGUCGUAGUCUUAACCAUAAACUAUGCCGACUAGGGAUCGGAUGAUGUUAAUUUUUUAAUGACUCAUUCGGCGCCUUACG
Molecule: ribosomal RNA, 500 nt
Filed under: uncultured Glomeromycotina
Lineage: Eukaryota; Fungi; Glomeromycota
Description: partial small subunit ribosomal RNA
Rfam family: Eukaryotic small subunit ribosomal RNA
Source: RNAcentral